AGCUUUGCCCAGGCAGCUUCAGAGGACAGUUGGAUAUUUGUAAUAUUGGAGGCACGGUCAAGAGGAACAUGGGCUAUUUUAGGCUAAAGUCAUUUUACCUUUAAAAUUCAAGUAGAGGCAAUAAAUAAGAUUUGUGUGGUAGGGAGAAGAGUGUAUUUCUUAUUGGUGGUACACCCUGUUUGCUGAAGUCUAGCAAAACUAGUUGAUUAUUCAACUCAUCCCUGAACUUUCUAUAGAUAAAAUCAAGAUGGACAAGAUUAAAGAGAGAAAAAGGACUCAAUGGAGUUGUGAAGGAAGAAGCUGUUGGACUUUGAGAUGGGCAUUUGUGGAGCCUCUGUAGAGGCUGAUAAUCUCUCCCAUCACCCAAACCAGCUCUUUUUCCCAGUUACUCCAUAUCUGUCAGUGCUUGCACCUGUCCCCUAGGUGAGAAAUUUGAGAUGAUUCUUUAUCGAUUUCCGCUAUCAUCUUAAAUAUGAAAUAAAUCAAGGCCUAUAAUUCUGUUCCAUUUGUAAUGUCUCUCAAAUUUUCCUUCAUCUCCACUUCUACUGCUGUCAUCCUUUCCCAGUCUUCAGCAUACGUCAGCAAUUCUGGAGUAGCUUCAGACUGCACGUUCUCCUUCUCCAAUUUCUCCCCUACUGUUUCCAGCUUACUGUUUCCCAAAUGCCACUUAACUGUUUCUCUCAGAGAACCUGAAGCUACUGCAAAUAACCACAGACUAUGAGCCUUUUCAAAACUGGGGCUUUAUCAUACUCACUUUUGUAGCUCCAGUGUUUAGGAAAGUGGCUGACACCUAACCCAAUUUUAGCCUUGCAACAACUCCAUGAAGUUUUUGAAUGGGAAAUUGAGGCUCAGGGAGGGAAAGUGACUGCCAAAGCCUGCAUAGCUAGUAAGCAUUAGAGCAAGACUCUGUCAUAGGCAGGUCUUUUUUUUUCCUAAACCACAUGAACUCAGCUGCACCUUGCUACCUCCACUGUCAGGAAUUGGAGACUUUCUCAAUCAAAUUCACUUAUUGUACCUCUAGCACUUUUCUGCAAUUAGUGCUAUGUCAAGUGGUAUAUCACCUGCUGCAAGAAAUAUAUUCGAAAAUUUGCCAGUUGAAUGUCAGAGAAGAGCUGAUAAAGACCAAAGGAAUUGAAGGUGGACCUUAAGCAGGGCUUGCAGGUUGAAAUAGGAUUUGGUCAGCAGGAUACCAGGGUGGAGGGCAUUCCAUAUCAUGGAGGCAGACAGCAAAAGCAUUGAGACAGAAAUGAAACAAUUUUUGCGUAAAUGAUAAAGAAAUUAACUUAUCUGGGGAAAUAGUUCAUGUAGUCUUUCUGGAAAUAAUCUUCCUUUAAAGUAAUGGUUUCACUAGUGCCCUGGAAAUAAACCCCGUAAUUUCAUGGAUUUAGGUGCUAAGGACUGGAGAGAAACAGUCUUCUUUCUGUAUGGCAAGAGCAGAGAGAAGAAAGCUCACUUGACUGUGGCAUUCCCACACUCAGGAUUUUGAAAUGAGCCUGGAUUUUGUGAGGAUUCCCAUGGCAAAUCCUAGAGUACAGGAACCAGAUUUGUAUCUGAACACGGCUUCAGUUUUCAUGAUAACUUUAACCUUCAGAAACAUUUUCACCCCAACUUUAGAAAAGAAGCAUAAGAUGAAUUGGCGAAGGGUUUGAACAUAUUAUUGCAAAGAGAACAUUUUUUACUGGCCAAUGAACUUCGUAGCCAAAAACAUGUUGUUGAAAGGGGCCUGGCUGAUGGCAAACAGUAAAAUGAGACAUUUGGAAUCAUAAACCCCCAAAUAAUUAUCACCUGUAAAUCAAUGUCAUAAAAUUAAAUAGAGGCAUUUAAAAAGUAUCAGGCAAGUUAAAAAAUGGCAAAGAACAGAAAAUUGCAUUUCAGUAAAUAAAGUAAAUUUAUUAAAAA
Molecule: long non-coding RNA, 1899 nt
Filed under: Homo sapiens (human)
Lineage: Eukaryota; Metazoa; Chordata; Mammalia; Primates; Hominidae
Description: non-protein coding lnc-CAAP1-3:1
Source: RNAcentral